CCAAUGUAAACAUAACCGAGAUAGCGUGUUAGAAAAAGACAGCAGAUAAGAAUGGUGUUGCUAUCUUUUUUUAUCACACAUAGUUAUAUGAAUUGAUUACCAAUACAUUUUAAAUUCGUUGUUCGUUUAACGUUUUGACUUUUGUUCUGCCUUCUGCGUUCUCAAAGUUUUAAAAAUAAUUAAAAUAGUGUGUACCUACUGUGCAGUUAAGACUUAAAAUGGUGAAUUUUUGUAGUGCCUUUAAUUGUGCUAGCUCUAGUGAUGUUAGAAAAGACUUGUCAUUUCACAAGUUCCCUCUUAAAGAUAAAGAGAGGCUUCAAAAAUGGGUGCAUGCUGUUCGAAGGAAAGAUUUUAAACCUAGUUCCAAUACUAACUAGUUCCAACAACUACUAAAUAUUUUCAUUGAAAAAUAUCUAGCUGAAGUCAACUCAACAUAAGUUACAUUAGUUAACUUAACAGAUCAUAUAACUCCAAGGUUAUGAAUAUAGUUAAAGUAUCUACAAAGUAUCAUAGUAUCUUUAAAUAUUUAUUUAUUUUAGGAAAUUUGGCCAUGAAGUAUAACAAAAUGUAUUGCAGAUUUUGUUUUUCUGGAUAUUUCCAGUACUAAUAUUUCCUAAAUUAUAAAUCUACAAUAUUAAGCUUAAGUUAGGAAAGUAGUAAGUACAAUCUAAAGUAAGUAGUAGAUAUAGCUCCAGGUAAAUAGCGUAAGUACACUUUUAUUUCAAUUAUGAUUAAUAUUAUAAAUACUAUGUUUAUAUUUUAAUAAAUAUUAUUUUACUAAAAA
Molecule: long non-coding RNA, 784 nt
Organism: Melanaphis sacchari
Lineage: Eukaryota; Metazoa; Arthropoda; Insecta; Hemiptera; Aphididae
Exons: 3
Source: RefSeq, a predicted model, not a curated record